Molecule: ribosomal RNA, 459 nt
Filed under: uncultured bacterium
Lineage: Bacteria
Description: partial 16S ribosomal RNA
Rfam family: Bacterial small subunit ribosomal RNA
Source: RNAcentral
CCUACGGGUUGCAGCAGUGAGGAAUAUUGGUCAAUGGGCGCGAGCCUGAACCAGCCAAGUCGCGUGAGGGAAGACGGUCCUAUGGAUUGUAAACCUCUUUUGUCGGGGAGCAAAAGACGCCACGUGUGGCGUUCCGAGAGUACCCGAAGAAAAAGCAUCGGCUAACUCCGUGCCAGCAGCCGCGGUAAUACGGAGGAUGCGAGCGUUAUCCGGAUUUAUUGGGUUUAAAGGGUGCGCAGGCGGAGGCACAAGUCAGCGGUAAAAUCGCGGGGCUCAACCCCGCUCCGCCGUUGAAACUGUGUCCCUUGAGUGCGCGAAGGGUAGGCGGAAUGCGUGGUGUAGCGGUGAAAUGCAUAGAUAUCACGCAGAACUCCGAUCGCGAAGGCAGCCUACCGGCGCGCAACUGACGCUCAUGCACGAAAGCGUGGGUAUCGAACAGGAUUAGAUACCCGGGUAGUC